AAAAAGAAAAAAAUAUAACUUUUUAUGAUUGUAGGAAAAAUUGACUGUUUAUUUAGAGAGGAUAUAACGUUUUUUAUAUAAAUUUUUUUAUUAAUUAAUUAACUUAUUUAUUUAUUUUAAAUUUGCAACUUAGAACAAUGGAGAAACAAAGUAUUUGAAUAAAAUCAUUACCUUACCUUCCUAGCAUGAUUUACUUUGUAAUUUUU
This 206-nucleotide long non-coding RNA is filed under the name Jatropha curcas. RNAcentral describes it as "long non-coding RNA (JCUR_LNC000542)". The record is from RNAcentral. Lineage: Eukaryota; Viridiplantae; Streptophyta; Magnoliopsida; Malpighiales; Euphorbiaceae.